CUUCCUCAGGGUCCGGCCCGAUGGCGGAGUGGUUAAGCGCUCACUUCUGCUUCUCGGCGGCCCCGGGGUUCCGGUUCGGAUCCCGGGUGGGGUCAUGGCACCACUUGGCAAAAGCCAUGCCUUGGGACCAGUUCUCAGGCUGUGGUGACUCAGGAGGCCUCACUGACCAUGUCCCCAGGAGGGACAGUCACUCUCACCUGUGGCUGUAGCACUAAGUGGUCACCAAUGGUCACCAUCCAUCCUGGUUCCAGCAGAAGAAUGAAGAAAUCCCCACAACACUGAUCUAUGACACACACAACAAAAACGCGCAGACCUCUGUGCAGUUCUCAGGCUCCAUCCCUGGGGCAAAGCUGCGCUGACCUCCUCAGGGGCCAGCCAGAGGAGGAGGCUGAGAGCCCCUGCAGGCUGGUGCACAGUGGUGCUCUGCUUGGCGGCAGAUUCAGAGGAGGAACCAAGACAGAACCCACCCUUGGCCAGCCUGGGUCUAUGAAUAAUCUCAUGAUCCAGGGUCACAGGACCCGGUGCCUCGGCUCCCCAGGCAGCUCAAUGACAGGAAGGUGACAGGAAGGACACUCACGGGAUUCUGACCCACGUUGAGCCCUAAUGUGGAGGAGAUCACAGUGAAUGCUUUGGGAGGAGCUUCUCCAGUUAAACCAGAGCCCAAGCGUUUUAUGAUCCACAGGCAACAGCGAAAACUGGAUCAGCCAAAUGGGCUGAAGUCAAACAUUCUUCCUCCACAGUAAAGAUGCCCCAGCGAUGUAUUUGCCAGCUAAGAACAAAGGAAAGAAACUCUCAUUCUGUACACAACUAAAGUAUUCUUUUCAUUAUGUUGUAUUCUAAUUAACUGUCUUUUAUUGAAUAAAAUCUAGGAAACAUGGACAGUACAAAGCUCUCUAGAAAGCUGACUCCUUAUCAGUCGGUGUGCCUUUCAGAAUUUGAGGGGGGUCAAUCAUUUUUUUCUCAGUUGUUUCCUGAAUUCUCAUCAUGAUACAUGUUCGUUUUGUAUCAUGAGCCCUAUGCAAUUU
Molecule: long non-coding RNA, 1025 nt
Organism: Equus asinus (donkey)
Lineage: Eukaryota; Metazoa; Chordata; Mammalia; Perissodactyla; Equidae
Source: Ensembl